RNAcentral lists this ribosomal RNA (405 nucleotides) under uncultured bacterium. RNAcentral describes it as "partial 16S ribosomal RNA". It matches the Rfam family "Bacterial small subunit ribosomal RNA", at positions 28 to 526 of the family's 1533-position model. The record is from RNAcentral.
GAUGAACGCUGGCGGCGUGCCUAAUACAUGCAAGUCGAGCGAUGCGGGGACGGGUGAGUAACAAGUGGUAACCCUCCUUUAAGAACGGGAUAACUUUGGGAAACCGUAGCUAAACGGGAUAUUUAUAGAUGGCUCCGCGCUGCAUUAGCUAGUUGGUAAGGUAACGGUUUACUAAGGCAACGAUGCAUAGCCGACCUGAGAGGGUGAUCGGCCACACUGGAACUGAGACACGGUCCAGACUCCUACGGGAGGCAGCAGUAGGGAAUCUUCAGCAAUGGACGAAAGCCUGACGGAGCAACGCCGCGUGAGUGAUGAGGGUCUUCGGAUCGUAAAACUCUGUUGUUAGAGAAGCGGUACCUAAUCAGAAAGCCACGGCUAACUACGUGCCAGCAGCCGCGGUAAUAC